CCCUUAGAUGUUCUGGGUCGCACGCGCGCUACACUGAUGAAUUCAACGAGCUCCUAACCUAGGCCGAAGGGUCCGGGUAAUCUUUGAAAUUUCAUCGUGAUGGGGAUAGAUUAUUGCAAUUAUUAAUCUUCAACGAGGAAUUCCUAGUAAGCGCGAGUCAUCAGCUCGCGUUGAUUACGUCCCUGCCCUUUGUACACACCGCCCGUCGCUCCUACCGAUUGAAUGGUCCGGUGAAAUGUUCGGAUCGCGGCAAAUCGGACGGGUAACCGUCAGGUUCGCUGCGAGAAGUUCAUUAAACCUUAUCAUUUAGAGGAAGGAGAAGUCGUAACA
RNAcentral lists this ribosomal RNA (330 nucleotides) under uncultured eukaryote. RNAcentral's name for it is "partial 18S ribosomal RNA". It matches the Rfam family "Eukaryotic small subunit ribosomal RNA", at positions 1470 to 1796 of the family's 1831-position model. The record is from RNAcentral.